AGUAAGUAGGACUGGAAGACGGAGGACCAUUUACAAAGUGGGCUUUUCACUGCCGAAUCGAAGCCCAUUUUGUCGCCUUAUCUGUGAGCUCUUCUGGGGGGUUUUAGCUGGGGGUUCCUUCUGCCAGGAGAAGCUAGUACGAGUUCAGUUGAGACUGAUUGUGUGUUGAAAUGGCUCUGCAACAUGCUAUGAGGCUCCCAUAUCUCUUCUCCUCAUCAACACACAACAAAUUUGUAGCACCCAUUUCGUUGAUUAGUCGUCAAGGGCAUCAAUUCAGCACAAAAAGAAGAGAGGUUACUAGAUUGUAUGCCUCUUGUUCAGGCGACCCCUAUUUAAUGGAUUCUGAUGAGAGACGUGAAUGGAGAGAGAAAAUUAGACGAGUGUUAGAUAAAAACCCGGAUGUGGAGGAGGAGGAGGAGGAGCUAGACCCUACUGAUAGGACCAGGAAAGUGCAGGAACUUCUGGCCAACUAUCCUCUCGUUGUGGAUGAGGAUGAUCCUGAAUGGCCUGAUGAUGCCGACGGCCGCGGUUUCAAGUUGGAUCAAUUCUUUGACAAGAUUACUAUCAACAACACCCCAAGGAAGGAUGACGACGACGAUAGUGACAAUGAACUAGUAUGGCAAGAUGAUAAUUAUAUUCGUCCCAUCAAAGAUAUAACAACUGCUGAAUGGGAAGAGACCGUUUUCAAGGACAUUAGCCCUUUGGUCAUUCUUGUACAUAAUCGCUAUAAAAGACCAAAAGAGAAUGAAAAAAUUCGGACUGAACUGGACAAGGCUGUACAAAUUAUAUGGAAUUGCAGGCUACCUUCACCAAGAUGUAUUGCAAUUGAUGCUGUUACUGAGCAUGACUUGGUUUCUGCUCUCCAAGUGUCUGUCUACCCCGAGAUCAUCUUCACCAAGGCUGGGAAGAUCUUGUAUCGUGAGAAAGCAAUACGAAGCGGAGAUGAGCUCUCAAAAGUAAUGGCUUUCUUUUACUAUGGAGCAGCCAAACCAGCUUGUUUGAAUGGAAUUGGUGAUAGGCAGGAAGAAAUUCCAUCCAUUCGUAUCAAUGCCCAACCAUGAUAUUAGAAUGAUGAAAUCUUGCUGAAAUCGAUGACUAUAGGGCCCUGCAAGCACAAAUUCAUCAGAAUCAGAUCACUCAUUGUGAACACCACAGCAACAGAAAGCUUGGUGGUAAUGAAAGCGGAAGGCAAACAGCUGGCCACGGUUUGAGCCAUUAAACUUGCAGUCGGCCACACCCACAGUUCGUUUCUUUGUUUUACCUCCAAAAACAGUGAGGCAUUUUCCUGUACUGCGAGAGACCCAAAAACGGAACUCGUGGUGAUUUAGUUUCUUAGGGGGACUAUAAGACUUCCAGUCAGCAUCUGCGAAGCUUUCCAGUGAUUUCAAUGAUCGAAGGCUGACCUUGUCAUGCUUGUCCACAGUAAGAUACAUAACAAAUUAAAGUAGGAUGAGCAUACCUGUGAUAACCAGAAGCUGAACCAGAAGUAGAUUUCCAGCCAAAAUAAGCAUUGUAUUUUGUUGACUGGCCACCUUUGAUAUUUGGCACUGAAUAAACUCCUUUGUCAUGCAAAUCCACAUAGUCAGACUGUAAAGCACCAGCAAUAAGAGUGUUGUCAAAUGCUGUCAUGUGGGGGUAGGCUUCACUUGGAGGGCAUUUACUGGAGUCGCAUUUGGAGCACUGGUUGCAAAGCCGAACACUCUUCAAAUGUGGGACUGGAGUUGCCCCAUGGGCACGAUCAAUAGAAGCAGUCGUCACCAGGACAAGCAGCAGGCAGAGAGAAAGGCAGUGGUAGUAGCUCCCCAUGUUUGUAUAUUUUGUUGUUCACUGCCUCUCUGUAUAACUCUAUUGUUGGUAAUUCCUAAGUAGAGAUUGUGUUUGUUUUA
RNA transcript from Rosa rugosa (rugosa rose), 1886 nucleotides. It is a transcript of the gene named thioredoxin-like fold domain-containing protein MRL7L, chloroplastic, with no coding region annotated. The transcript is spliced from 7 exons. The record is from RefSeq and is a predicted model, not a curated record. Lineage: Eukaryota; Viridiplantae; Streptophyta; Magnoliopsida; Rosales; Rosaceae.